This 476-nucleotide long non-coding RNA is filed under the name Mytilus galloprovincialis (Mediterranean mussel). Lineage: Eukaryota; Metazoa; Mollusca; Bivalvia; Mytilida; Mytilidae. The record is from RNAcentral.
UGCUGCAAUAAAAAAUAAAUAAAUAGAUAAAUUAGACUUCUGGACUCCUACUUAAAAUUGACAUUGUACAUUUAUAAAAGUUGAAUGGUUUUGAAUUUUUAUAGAACAAUUUCUCUUGGUACAUGUGUAACAAAGAAAGAUUUUCAUGACAAAAAAAAUUAAUUCAAUUAAUAUUUUGCAUCUUCAAAUACAUUAUCGUAAUACAGUUAAAAUCUGCAUGACAUAUAAUUUAAAAUAAUAAAUGCUUGGCAUGUAAAUGAGUAUAAGUCCAUCCUCAAAAUAAUGCAUAGAGAUUAACAGCCACAAUUUCUUAAAAAGAUGCUUUACAUUACAUAAGAUACUCAUAAGAUUAGAAAUUGUCAGAUUUUUGGAAAUUAUUUUCUUUGUUCAGUUUAAAAAAAAUAAACUAGAGGGUCCAAGGACCCUGUGUCGCUCACCUGAUAUUUUUAUUUACAAUGAUGCAUGAUAAAUGCAAC